AGUGUUCACAGUGAGACACAAAAUGGAACUGACCCUGAGAUCCAGCCAAUACCUCCAGCCUUUAUUCCCCACCCAACCCCCUGCACCCGGGGAAGACACUGAAACAGAUGCUGUGAACUUCAGUCUGGUCCUGAUCCCACGUGCUGGCUCCCAAGAGGGACCAUCAGGGAGAUGUUCCUCCUCCACGUGCACAUCCUCAGGAUCAAAGGAAACGAAUUCUGAAACUCCUGUGAUCUCCACACAGGAUAACUCUGAACAACGUGAACAAUUACCAAGUCUGUGAUAUUGCACAAAUAAAUAACACUUACCAUUA
Molecule: long non-coding RNA, 313 nt
Organism: Marmota monax (woodchuck)
Lineage: Eukaryota; Metazoa; Chordata; Mammalia; Rodentia; Sciuridae
Exons: 2
Source: RefSeq, a predicted model, not a curated record